AUUGAACGCUAGCGGGAUGCCUUACACAUGCAAGUCGAACGGCAGCACGGACUUCGGUCUGGUGGCGAGUGGCGAACGGGUGAGUAAUGUAUCGGAACGUGCCCAGUAGCGGGGGAUAACUACGCGAAAGCGUAGCUAAUACCGCAUACGCCCUACGGGGGAAAGCAGGGGAUCGCAAGACCUUGCACUAUUGGAGCGGCCGAUAUCGGAUUAGCUAGUUGGUGGGGUAACGGCUCACCAAGGCGACGAUCCGUAGCUGGUUUGAGAGGACGACCAGCCACACUGGGACUGAGACACGGCCCAGACUCCUACGGGAGGCAGCAGUGGGGAAUUUUGGACAAUGGGGGAAACCCUGAUCCAGCCAUCCCGCGUGUGCGAUGAAGGCCUUCGGGUUGUAAAGCACUUUUGGCAGGAAAGAAACGUCAUGGGCUAAUACCCCGUGAAACUGACGGUACCUGCAGAAUAAGCACGCUA
This 474-nucleotide ribosomal RNA is filed under the name Achromobacter xylosoxidans. Its description in RNAcentral is "bacterial SSU rRNA". It matches the Rfam family "Bacterial small subunit ribosomal RNA", at positions 30 to 499 of the family's 1533-position model. The record is from RNAcentral. Lineage: Bacteria; Pseudomonadati; Pseudomonadota; Betaproteobacteria; Burkholderiales; Alcaligenaceae.